GGGCUUGUAGCUCAGUUGGUUAGAGCAACCGGCUCAUAACCGGUAGGUCACUGGUUCAAGUCCAGUCAAGCCCA
RNAcentral lists this transfer RNA (74 nucleotides) under Candidatus Vampirococcus lugosii. Its description in RNAcentral is "tRNA-Met". It matches the Rfam family "tRNA". Rfam says of the family: Transfer RNA (tRNA) molecules are approximately 80 nucleotides in length. Their secondary structure includes four short double-helical elements and three loops (D, anti-codon, and T loops). Lineage: Bacteria; Candidatus Absconditibacteriota. The record is from RNAcentral.